AUGAGUAAAUUUUGGAAGAUCUUGUUUGCAAGUGGUAUGAAAUCUGAGAAAAGCCAGGCUCUGAUUCCUAAAGAUUUCGUAUUUAGAGAGAGUCAUGUAUCAAUCCUGAGCAAAGUGUGAGCCAGGUAACGAUCUUGAACCUGUGAAAGCAGGACUGCGAUCCCAGCCUAUCGAAAGGGGGAGUCUAUAGAUGCUAAAGAGCCAGGUUACGAUUCUGGAAGCCUGAUAGUCACAUAAGAUGCUGAUGAUGAUGAACUUAAGGUAACAAGAGAUCUGAUCAAGAGAAUUAGAAGGCUUGAGAGCCAGAUUAUGAUCCUGGUUCGUUCAACAUUCGAGGGGAGAUUAUUUGCUUGAGGAAAGUCUGUUGGUGAAAAUAGAGAAGAGAGAAGAGAGAGAUUUGAUGAUGCUUUACAAUUUCAGACACUUCAAAUGAGAAGCCCGAAGACUGAUAAAGACUGAAGAUGUUGAAGACUCGACACUUAAGACUCGUCAACAUUCGAGGGGGAGUCUGUUAGUGCAUGCGUCUGUCGACUUCGUCUUGUAUCGAGUCUUGUACUUAGAAUGUUAGAUCAGGGCACGUAGUUUGAGAAAACAAGUAAUUUCGCUUGAGUGGGUAAUUCCGCUUGAAAUGAUGCUGCAUGUAAUUCCGCACGGAAUUAGAUUCCGUGUGAAAUCUAAUUCCAUUUGGAACAGUUUCAAGCGGAAUCACAAGCCUAUAAAUACCAAGUCAAGCGAAAUUAGUGUGUAGGGUUCCGGUUUGUGCAACGAAGUGCUGCCGAAGUGUCGUCUCGCUGUAAUAUGUCAUCAAAUCAAUAAUACAACAGUUUAAAGUAUAUAUCUUGCUGAAUU
This 849-nucleotide long non-coding RNA is filed under the name Helianthus annuus (common sunflower). Its description in RNAcentral is "hypothetical non coding rna". The record is from RNAcentral. Lineage: Eukaryota; Viridiplantae; Streptophyta; Magnoliopsida; Asterales; Asteraceae.